This 330-nucleotide ribosomal RNA is filed under the name uncultured eukaryote. RNAcentral's name for it is "partial 18S ribosomal RNA". It matches the Rfam family "Eukaryotic small subunit ribosomal RNA", at positions 1470 to 1796 of the family's 1831-position model. The record is from RNAcentral.
CCCUUAGAUGUUCGGGGCCGCACGCGCGCUACACUGAAGGAAUCAGCACGUCUUUCUCCUUGUCCGAAAGGACUGGGUAACCCGCUGAACCUCCUUCGUGCUAGGGAUUGGGGCUUGUAAUUCUUCCCCAUGAACGAGGAAUUCCCAGUAAGCGCGAGUCAUAAGCUCGUGUUGAUUACGUCCCUGCCCUUUGUACACACCGCCCGUCGCUACUACCGAUUGGAUGGUUUAGUGAGAUCCUCGGAUUGGUCCCGGAGCGGCCUCUGGUCGUGCCGGAGUGCCGAAAAGAAUGUCGAACUUGAUCAUCUAGAGGAAGUAAAAGUCGUAACA